GACACUGAAGGAAAAUGUGAAAGAAAAAACCCUAAACCAAGUGUGGACACUGAAGAAAAAUAUGAAGAAAAAAAACCCCAAACAAAUGUGGACACUGAA
Saccostrea echinata is the source of this 99-nucleotide long non-coding RNA. RefSeq lists it as uncharacterized. Lineage: Eukaryota; Metazoa; Mollusca; Bivalvia; Ostreida; Ostreidae. The transcript is spliced from 3 exons. The record is from RefSeq and is a predicted model, not a curated record.